UUCUCCUUUUCUUUUCAAAUCCGGACUGUCAGUGCUAACUUACAACCGACUACCAAUGCUUAGUGGUUUUAGACACUGGGCACGUUCUUUUUAAACUCUUUCCGCCCUGUGGGCACUAGGAGUGCCUCUUUUUGCAAGCCCAUUAUGGGUUCGGCCAGGCCCACAAUGGGGCUGCCGGGAGGUGAGGGACGGGGCCUGACAUAUCCGAAGGGACCACCUCCCGAAAAAUUCCUGGGGAUUUUUCGACCCGUUCGGAUUUGAGCCCGGGUCCCCCAGAGAGGUUGGCUUUGACCGUUCGGCCAUCCGGCCGCGGACACUGGGCAAUGGUGAGCGAGUGUUGUCGGUUCGGUGAUUGUGGGGUAUUUGAAGACGCUCUUUGUUUUGAAAGAAAAAUUUAUUCUGACGACUUUUCACGACAAGAAUAAUUUUUAAAAUGAACAAAAGAAAUCGCCCAGAAAUAGACGAACACAAGUUGUUAAUUGUAACAACGGUAAAAGCAGUUUGGACAGUCAUCCGUUUCUCUUCGGCAGUUCUCGUAAGCGCCUUUAAAAUUUGUUUUUGUAAUUACUGUAUUUUGUAUUUUGUCGAUUGCGUUGUACCAAACAUUUCGUGUUAUCCGAUUAUAUUCGGCUCGAUUACCUUGGAUAAUCCUGUCUCUACUGUGCGUCGAGAGAAGACACGAUUUAUUUUUACUUUCCCAGCCGUUAUAUUGGAUGACCAUGAUUAAAGUACAGGCGUUUCGAGCUCGAUUGUACCAAAUCUGUUCGACCAAAAACCUCGACCAAAGUCGGUGAACGUAUUAUUCAGACCGUGGAAUUUCGACUUUGGUAAUAAAAGUUUUAUUUCAAAUUUUUGCCACUAGGCGGAAAAUGGGGCUAUACGCGGAACUAGUAUGCAUAUUCGUACUCACGAAUACCAAAUUAUACAAAUUCCAGUCAACUGACAUUAUUAAAUUCGCUUAUCAAUAAGACCGACUUGACGUUGGAGUUAUGGUUACUUAAAGGGCUUGGUUUACCAUGCACACGAUGGAGAGUUCGGCGAAUUUUAAUCAUCGAUUAUUUAUCAGAUGUUGUUAAGACCCACGAAAACACUGCGGAAGUUAUCACAAGAGGACAAACAUGAGUUAAGGAAAAGCUUUACAGUAAAAACUAAAGUUCCUUCCUUACAAAGUGACGUUUGUGCAGGUGUGAAAACUUGCAGAUUAUGAGAAAAGGUGGACAUAUUGCGAGCGGUUCCAAGUUAGAACAUGGAGAAAUUGAGGUGCUCGACAGGACUUUCUUUACGGACGAGGCUUGCUUUACGUUAUCAAUUCACAUAAUCCUAUGCACCCACACGGAGUGUACGAGACGCCGUUGCACAAGGCCACGUGUAGUUUUCCGGAUUUUCUCCAGAGUUGUAAUACCUAUGUGCCAGUUUUCUAUGGCUCACCCGGGAGGCAUCCUCCCUGUCAGAUCGCCCACACGUCGCAUUGCCUUAUAUAAAUAAACCAAACCAAACCCUACUUUCAACAAGACGGUGCAACUUCUCACGCAGCUAGGAGUUCAAUAAUACUAUUGCAUCACACCUUCGGGAAGAAGAUAAUUUCGAAAGGAGUUAGGCUACUACGAUUUCCAGGUGUGGCAACACCAGACUUCUUCUGUGGAGCAGCAAUAGGAUUUGUGUUAAAGAAACAAGUUCCAAAUCUUGCACGGACAGAAAAAAGUCACGUGUCUCUUCACUACUCCUCAUUAUUAAGCAUAUUUUAAUUAAUCCAGCUUAAAACAACAGGAGGAGUCUGAUUGUGUCUAGAAAACGGAGGACAUCUCGGCACCUCAGGUAAUAAAGUCAAAGAAGAAUUUCCUGCGAAUCCGAGGGGACAUGACGAAAGCAAAUAUACAGAGCGUCAAACUGAAGUUUAUUAAAAUCCGUGGCGACUGUUUCGACGCGUGGAUUGUUUAUGACGUCAUUACUUCGUUUCCGGAAGUCUCUGCCAACGUGGAGCUACUUUACGAUUACACUACAACAUCGGAGGCCAGGAACUAACCGAGGCAGGGACCAGCGGCCUCACCCCGUCCUCACCAACGUCAGCAACAGACUAGACGGCGUCGCCUCUUUCGAAGAUUUAAUUUUUUAAGACGUUGCUUUAAAACACCUCUAAGAUCGACGUCGACCAUCGUCAAACGUUUGACAAAAAACAAAGACGAAACCAACUAUUCUGGGCAGAAACUCUAUCGGUCGUUUAUUCGUCCCAAUUAUUUACAUAAAGGAAAAAAAGAUUAAUGAAAAUACGGGCAAAGUUAAAGACGAGUGUCUUGGUCGAUUAGAUUACGAUAUAAUAAACGAAUUGAAAGAUCAUUCUGCCGAAAACUUCUUAAAAGGUAUGUUUUCAUUUUAUAUUUAUAUGAUAAUAGAUAUCUCAUCACCUGGAACUCAGUAAAACUAUAUUUUAACAUUAAAAACAGGCAUUCUUACAUUAGUUAUAAAAAAAAACAACGUUAAAAUCCUAAUAUAUAACGACACAAGUUAAUCAAAUCUGAAUAAUAUAUAUGACAAAUUAUAGGGAACGUUCGCACAUUUUUGCAUAGUAAAUCUUUCUUUCACUGUCACAAGCAAAGGUGGCCAAGACCAAGUUGUACACAGCUGCUUCUUAAUGCUGUCUUUAUGUUCCUCGAUUCUAGUGUUCAAAGAUCUAUACGAUCUAAGCCUUUCUCAAACUCUUUCGUAAUGCCUUUGCGUCGUAUGAGACAUCGAAGCCGUCCAAAAAUCACCGCUACACCGAAAAUUCUUAACACAUCGAGCCUUUUUAUAGCGUGAGGUAGUGAUUCUAAGGCAUUCUGGAGGCUUUAUCUGGCCUACUGUCAUUUCACCAGGCCCGCAAUUAUAAUUUGUAAGAAGCCACGUCACUGUAGUGUCGAGUGGAGAAACAACCCAAUGCCAGUAGUUGGUCGAGGGUUGGUCGAGCUAGACACGUGGAAUUUACCACGUUUUCUUCACCUAAAUAGCGACCAGCUUCCUAUAGAAGAAAGUCCGGAGGCACAUGGCCGAAGUACCCCUCCCCGUGUAAACGUUUACCCACGUAAAUUGCCUUCUUCCGUCUUACAAUCCAAUUUUAAAAGUAUCAAUAAGUAUAAAAAUUUAAUUUUUUCUAAUUGGAUUUAUCGAACUAAAUACAAAAGCAGAAUUUUUUAAUAUUCUUACAAUAAAUUUAUAUCACAUUUUAAAGGAAUUAUAGGUAUUCAAAAGAUGAAAAUAAACAAAUUGCGAUUAUAAUAAAGGAGACACGAGGAUAAACAAGCGAUUCUCCAAUGCGACUCCGACACGUGUUAAGUAAUACAUCAGUGUCGAGCCGGAGAGUUUGAACUUUGACACUAUCGCUAAUAUAUACAAUAUGACUACUUAAACCGAGUCGAGAAAAGAGGACGUUUGACAAACAGAAAACAUCGCGUUCCAUCGUUAACUUCUAAACUGUCUAAAGAAAGGAAAUAACAAGCUAAAAUACGAGCGCAGGUCUCAUACUUCCAUCAACGUCUACCGGUGAAAGUCCAGAGAUGGUGUCGGGUUAACUCUCUAACACAGACCUUUCACGUGACCCGAACCGAUCUUAUUUCCAAAUAGUAACAAGGGAACGAACCAAUCAGAAAACAACGAGAGGGAGUAAGAACCAAUCGGAAAAAAAAAUUCGUAAUGAUAUCUUCUAAAUAUCCAGAACAUCAAUGUCAAACAACAGAUUCUUUCUAAUUUCUGCCGACUAAACGAGCAGUGUCCUUCUGAUAGACUGAUACGACAUUCAUAUGACGCAAGUCGAUCUGUCACUUCAUCCUCACCGUCCACUGAACACUGUGACUUUUCGUCCACCAGCCGAAUUUACGUUGCCACUGCCCGGGUCGAAGUUAUUGCACAAUAACUUCGACCCGGAGGUGACUCUCCUUUAUUCCCCAACCGAAAGCCUCGGAAAUCAAUCUAGAAGUCGACCGACAUCGUCCUGCAUCGAGUCUCUUCACUCUCCGGCCCCCCUGGGCCUCGGAAAUCAAUCUAGAAGUCGAC
This 4023-nucleotide long non-coding RNA is filed under the name Centruroides sculpturatus (bark scorpion). Its description in RNAcentral is "uncharacterized LOC111620880, transcript variant X2". Lineage: Eukaryota; Metazoa; Arthropoda; Arachnida; Scorpiones; Buthidae. The record is from RNAcentral.